AUUGAACGCUGGCGGCAUGCCUUACACAUGCAAGUCGAACGGUAACGGGCCUUCGGGUGCCGACGAGUGGCGAACGGGUGAGUAAUACAUCGGAACGUGCCCGAUCGUGGGGGAUAACGAGGCGAAAGCUUUGCUAAUACCGCAUACGAUCUACGGAUGAAAGCAGGGGACCGCAAGGCCUUGCGCGGACGGAGCGGCCGAUGGCAGAUUAGGUAGUUGGUGGGAUAAAAGCUUACCAAGCCGACGAUCUGUAGCUGGCCUGAGAGGAUGAUCAGCCACACUGGGACUGAGACACGGCCCAGACUCCUACGGGAGGCAGCAGUGGGGAAUUUUGGACAAUGGGCGCAAGCCUGAUCCAGCCAUGCCGCGUGCAGGAUGAAGGCCUUCGGGCUGUAAACUGCUUUUGUACGGAACGAAAAGCCUUCUUUUAAUACAGGAGGGUCAUGACGGUACCGUAAGAAUAAGCACCGGCUAACUACGUG
Molecule: ribosomal RNA, 482 nt
Filed under: uncultured bacterium
Lineage: Bacteria
Description: partial 16S ribosomal RNA
Rfam family: Bacterial small subunit ribosomal RNA
Source: RNAcentral